Molecule: ribosomal RNA, 308 nt
Filed under: Prasinoderma singulare
Lineage: Eukaryota; Viridiplantae; Prasinodermophyta; Prasinodermophyceae; Prasinodermales; Prasinodermaceae
Description: partial Bacterial large subunit ribosomal RNA
Rfam family: Bacterial large subunit ribosomal RNA
Source: RNAcentral
GAGCUGGGUUUAGAACGUCGUGAGACAGUUCGGUCCCUAUCUGCCGUGGGUGUCGGAUACUUGAGAGGAGCUGUCCCUAGUACGAGAGGACCGGGAUGGACGCACCUCUGGUGGACCUGUUGUCGCGCCAGCGGCAUAGCAGGGUAGCUAAGUGCGGACAGGAUAACCGCUGAAUGCAUCUAAGCGGGAAGCCCCCCUCAAAACCAGGUCUCGCUGAGAACCGUGGUAGACCACCACGUCGAUAGGCCAGGUGUGGAAGCGUGGUAACAUGUGAAGCUAACUGGUACUAAUCGUUCGAUCGGCUUGAU